GCCCCGGUAGCUCAGAAGGAUAGAGCAGCGGUUUCCUAAACCGUUGGUCGGAGGUUCGAAUCCUCUCCGGGGUACCA
RNAcentral lists this transfer RNA (77 nucleotides) under Candidatus Cloacimonadota bacterium. Its description in RNAcentral is "tRNA-Arg". It matches the Rfam family "tRNA". From Rfam's summary of the family: Transfer RNA (tRNA) molecules are approximately 80 nucleotides in length. Their secondary structure includes four short double-helical elements and three loops (D, anti-codon, and T loops). Lineage: Bacteria; Pseudomonadati; Candidatus Cloacimonadota. The record is from RNAcentral.